GAUGAACGCUGGCGGCGUGCCUAAUACAUGCAAGUCGAGCGAACGCACGAGAAGCUUGCUCCUCUGAUGUUAGCGGCUGACGGGUGAGUAAGACGUGGAUAACCUACCUAUAAGACUGGGAUGACAUCGGGAAACCGGAGCUAAUACCGGAUCAUAUUUUGAACCGCAUGGAUCAAGAGUUAUAUACUCUCUUCGUGUCACUUAUAGCUGAAUCCGCGCUGCAUUAGCUAGUUGGUAAGGUAACGGCUUACCAAGGCAACGAUGCAUAUCCGACCUGAGAGGAUGAUCGGCCACACUGGAACUGAGACACGGUCCAGACUCCUACGGGAGGCAGCAGUAGGGAAUAUUACCCAAUGGGCGAAAGCCUGAUCGAGCCACACCGCGUAAGUGAUGAAGGUCUUCGGAUUGUAAAACUCUGUUAUUGGGGAAGAACAUAUGCGUAAGUAACUGCGCAUAUCUUGACGGUACCUAAUCAGAAAGCCACGGCUAACUUCGUG
This 497-nucleotide ribosomal RNA is filed under the name uncultured bacterium. RNAcentral's name for it is "partial 16S ribosomal RNA". It matches the Rfam family "Bacterial small subunit ribosomal RNA", at positions 28 to 507 of the family's 1533-position model. The record is from RNAcentral.